UAGGGAAUAUUGGACAAUGGGCGCAAGCCUGAUCCAGCCAUGCCGCGUGAGUGAAGAAGGCCCUCGGGUUGUAAAGCUCUUUUGUCCGGAAAGAAAAGCUUUGGGUUAAUACCCCGAAGUCCUGACGGUACCGGAAGAAUAAGCACCGGCUAACUUCGUGCCAGCAGCCGCGGUAAUACGAAGGGUGCAAGCGUUACUCGGAAUUACUGGGCGUAAAGCGUGCGUAGGUUGUUCGUUAAGUCUGAUGUGAAAGCCCUGGGCUCAACCUGGGAAUGGCAUUGGAUACUGGCGGGCUAGAGUGCGGUAGAGGGCAGUGGAAUUCCCGGUGUAGCAGUGAAAUGCGUAGAGAUCGGGAGGAACAUCUGUGGCGAAGGCGACUGCCUGGACCAGCACUGACACUGAGGCACGAAAGCGUGGGGAGCAAACAGG
Molecule: ribosomal RNA, 429 nt
Filed under: bacterium
Lineage: Bacteria
Description: partial 16S ribosomal RNA
Rfam family: Bacterial small subunit ribosomal RNA
Source: RNAcentral